UCAGGAUGAACGCUGCGGCGUGCCUAAUACAUGCAAGUCGAGCGAAUGGAUUGAGAGCUUGCUCUCAAGAAGUUAGCGGCGGACGGGUGAGUAACACGUGGGUAACCUGCCCAUAAGACUGGGAUAACUCCGGGAAACCGGGGCUAAUACCGGAUAACAUUUUGAACCGCAUGGUUCGAAAUUGAAAGGCGGCUUCGGCUGUCACUUAUGGAUGGACCCGCGUCGCAUUAGCUAGUUGGUGAGGUAACGGCUCACCAAGGCAACGAUGCGUAGCCGACCUGAGAGGGUGAUCGGCCACACUGGGACUGAGACACGGCCCAGACUCCUACGGGAGGCAGCAGUAGGGAAUCUUCCGCAAUGGACGAAAGUCUGACGGAGCAACGCCGCGUGAGUGAUGAAGGCUUUCGGGUCGUAAAACUCUGUUGUUAGGGAAGAACAAGUGCUAGUUGAAUAAGCUGGCACCUUGACGGUACCUAACCAGAAAGCCACGGCUAACUACGUGCCAGCAGCCGCGGUAAUACGUAGGUGGCAAGCGUUAUCCGGAAUUAUUGGGCGUAAAGCGCGCGCAGGUGGUUUCUUAAGUCUGAUGUGAAAGCCCACGGCUCAACCGUGGAGGGUCAUUGGAAACUGGGAGACUUGAGUGCAGAAGAGGAAAGUGGAAUUCCAUGUGUAGCGGUGAAAUGCGUAGAGAUAUGGAGGAACACCAGUGGCGAAGGCGACUUUCUGGUCUGUAACUGACACUGAGGCGCGAAAGCGUGGGGAGCAAACAGGAUUAGAU
This 778-nucleotide ribosomal RNA is filed under the name Bacillus sp. RF(2010). RNAcentral describes it as "bacterial SSU rRNA". It matches the Rfam family "Bacterial small subunit ribosomal RNA", at positions 24 to 783 of the family's 1533-position model. Lineage: Bacteria; Bacillati; Bacillota; Bacilli; Caryophanales; Bacillaceae. The record is from RNAcentral.